RNAcentral lists this ribosomal RNA (654 nucleotides) under uncultured Rummeliibacillus sp. RNAcentral's name for it is "bacterial SSU rRNA". It matches the Rfam family "Bacterial small subunit ribosomal RNA", at positions 88 to 730 of the family's 1533-position model. Lineage: Bacteria; Bacillati; Bacillota; Bacilli; Caryophanales; Caryophanaceae. The record is from RNAcentral.
UGAUUUAGCGGCGGACGGGUGAGUAACACGUGGGCAACCUGCCCUGCAGACUGGGAUAACUUCGGGAAACCGGAGCUAAUACCGGAUAAUCCAUUUUACUUCAUGGUGAAAUGUUGAAAGGCGCUUUCGCGCCACUGCAGGAUGGGCCCGCGGUGCAUUAGCUAGUUGGUGGGGUAACGGCCUACCAAGGCGACGAUGCAUAGCCGACCUGAGAGGGUGAUCGGCCACAUUGGGACUGAGACACGGCCCAAACUCCUACGGGAGGCAGCAGUAGGGAAUCUUCCACAAUGGACGAAAGUCUGAUGGAGCAACGCCGCGUGAGUGAUGAAGGUUUUCGGAUCGUAAAACUCUGUUGUAAGGGAAGAACAAGUACGUUAGGAAAUGAACGUACCUUGACCGUACCUUAUUAGAAAGCCACGGCUAACUACGUGCCAGCAGCCGCGGUAAUACGUAGGUGGCAAGCGUUGUCCGGAUUUAUUGGGCGUAAAGCCCGCGCAGGUGGUUUCUUAAGUCUGAUGUGAAAUCUCGCGGCUCAGCCGCGAGCGGUCAUUGGAAACUGGGGAACUUGAGUGCAAAAGAUGAUAGUGGAAUUCCAAGUGUAGCGGUGAAAUGCGUAGAUAUUUGGAGGAACACCAGUGGCAAAGGCCACUGUCU